ACUCCUGCGGGAGGCAGCAGUGGGGAAUCUUGCGCAAUGGGCGAAAGCCUGACGCAGCCAUGCCGCGUGAAUGAUGAAGGUCUUAGGAUUGUAAAAUUCUUUCACCGGGGACGAUAAUGACGGUACCCGGAGAAGAAGCCCCGGCUAACUUCGUGCCAGCAGCCGCGGUAAUACGAAGGGGGCUAGCGUUGCUCGGAAUUACUGGGCGUAAAGGGAGCGUAGGCGGACAUUUAAGUCAGGGGUGAAAUCCCGGGGCUCAACCUCGGAAUUGCCUUUGAUACUGGGUGUCUUGAGUAUGAGAGAGGUGUGUGGAACUCCGAGUGUAGAGGUGAAAUUCGUAGAUAUUCGGAAGAACACCAGUGGCGAAGGCGACACACUGGCUCAUUACUGACGCUGAGGCUCGAAAGCGUGGGGAGCAAACAGGAUUAGAUACCCCGGUAGUCCCAUG
This 448-nucleotide ribosomal RNA is filed under the name uncultured organism. RNAcentral describes it as "partial 16S ribosomal RNA". It matches the Rfam family "Bacterial small subunit ribosomal RNA", at positions 335 to 799 of the family's 1533-position model. The record is from RNAcentral.